This 882-nucleotide ribosomal RNA is filed under the name Dirofilaria repens. RNAcentral describes it as "SSU rRNA". It matches the Rfam family "Eukaryotic small subunit ribosomal RNA", at positions 49 to 933 of the family's 1831-position model. The record is from RNAcentral. Lineage: Eukaryota; Metazoa; Nematoda; Chromadorea; Rhabditida; Onchocercidae.
CCAUGCAUGUCUAAGUUCAAAUAAACCUAUAAUGGUGAAACCGCGAACGGCUCAUUAUAACAGCUAUAAUGUACUUGAUGUUGAUUAUCCAACGUGGAUAACUGUGGCAAUUCUAGAGCUAAUACAUGCACCAAAGCUCCGACUUUUGAACGAGCGCAUCUAUUAGAUUAAAACCAAUCGGGUUAUUAGCCCGUUAAUUGGUGACUCUGAAUAGCUAUGGCUGAUCGCAUGGUCUUGUACCGGCGACGUAUCUAUCAAGUGUCUGCCUUAUCAACUUUCGAUGGUAGUUUAUGUGCCUACCAUGGUUGUAACGGGUAACGGAGAAUAAGGGUUCGACUCCGGAGAGGGAGCCUGAGAAACGGCUACCACAUCCAAGGAAGGCAGCAGGCGCGCAAAUUACCCACUCUCAGAAUGAGGAGGUAGUGACGAAAAAUAACGAGACCGUUCUCUUUGAGGCCGGUUAUCGGAAUGGGUACAAUUUAAACCUGUUAACGAGGAUCUAUGAGAGGGCAAGUCUGGUGCCAGCAGCCGCGGUAAUUCCAGCUCUCAAAGUGUAUAUCGUCAUUGCUGCGGUUAAAAAGCUCGUAGUUGGAUCUGCGUCUCAGGACCUGGUCCAUCCAUUGGAUGAGAACUGGGCUCCUAGGCUAAUAUUGCCAGUUUUCCAUACGUUACCUUGAUUGGUUGCGUAUGGUGGCUAGCAAGUUUACCUUGAAAAAAUUAGAGUGCUCAAUGCGGGCUAAUGCCUGAAUACUCGUGCAUGGAAUAAUGAAAUAGGAUCUCGGUUCUAUUUUGUUGGUUUUCUGAUCUGAGAUAAUGGUUAAGAGGGACGGACGGGGGCAUUCGUAUCGCUGCGUGAGAGGUGAAAUUCUUGGACCGUAGCGA